AAAGGUUUUCGGAUCGUAAAGCUCCGUUGUUAGGGAAGAACAAGUGCCGUUCAAAUAGGGCGGCACCUUGACGGUACCUAACCAGAAAGCCACGGCUAACUACGUGCCAGCAGCCGCGGUAAUACGUAGGUGGCAAGCGUUGUCCGGAAUUAUUGGGCGUAAAGGGCUCGCAGGCGGUUUCUUAAGUCUGAUGUGAAAGCCCCCGGCUCAACCGGGGAGGGUCAUUGGAAACUGGGGAACUUGAGUGCAGAAGAGGAGAGUGGAAUUCCACGUGUAGCGGUGAAAUGCGUAGAGAUGUGGAGGAACACCAGUGGCGAAGGCGACUCUCUGGUCUGUAACUGACGCUGAGGAGCGAAAGCGUGGGGAGCGAACAGGAUUAGAUACCCUGGUAGUCCACGCCGUAAACGAUGAGUGCUAAGUGUUAGGGGGUUUCCGCCCCUUAGUGCUGCAGCUAACGCAUUAAGCACUCCGCCUGGGGAGUACGGUCGCAAGACUGAAACUCAAAGGAAUUGACGGGGGCCCGCACAAGCGGUGGAGCAUGUGGUUUAAUUCGAAGCAACGCGAAGAACCUUACCAGGUCUUGACAUCCUCUGACAAUCCUAGAGAUAGGACGUCCCCUUCGGGGGCAGAGUGACAGGUGGUGCAUGGUUGUCGUCAGCUCGUGUCGUGAGAUGUUGGGUUAAGUCCCGCAACGAGCGCAACCCUUGAUCUUAGUUGCCAGCAUUCAGUUGGGCACUCUAAGGUGACUGCCGGUGACAAACCGGAGGAAGGUGGGGAUGACGUCAAAUCAUCAUGCCCCUUAUGACCUGGGCUACACACGUGCUACAAUGGACAGAACAAAGGGCAGCGAAA
Molecule: ribosomal RNA, 852 nt
Filed under: Bacillus velezensis
Lineage: Bacteria; Bacillati; Bacillota; Bacilli; Caryophanales; Bacillaceae
Description: bacterial SSU rRNA
Rfam family: Bacterial small subunit ribosomal RNA
Source: RNAcentral